Molecule: unclassified non-coding RNA, 234 nt
Filed under: rhizosphere metagenome
Description: partial ribosomal RNA internal transcribed spacer region
Source: RNAcentral
GUAGGUGAACCUGCGGAAGGAUCAUUAGUGAAUUUAGCGUUUCUCUUAACAGAGCGCGACCCUCCACUUUCUUAACUCUGUGAACUUUUUUGGUCGAGCAUUAGGAACUUUGGUGGACUUUUAGUAGUCGGCCUUGGGAAGUUUUGCUUGACGGCUCAUUUUAAACACUAGUACAAGUAUGUAACGAAAUAUCGAAAUAUAAAAAAACUUUCAACAACGGACCUCUUGGCUCUC